UGAGACCUUCCAGAUGAGUGUUGAUCUGAAACUUUCAUCAGUCAAACCUGAAGACUGGGAGAGGUACGAAUGUGUGUUUCAGUUCGGUGGUGUCAACAAGGAGAUCAUCACCAAACCGGACAAAACAAAAAUCAAGACCAAUACAGGUCCUUCAGGGUUUCAUGUUGGUGGUGUUAUCGGUGGUGUUAUCGGUGGUCUUGUGGUUCUUCUCCUGGCCGUCUGUAUCGGAAUCUAUUUCAAGUUACGAGGAAAUGGGUUUAAUCGUGCAAACACUUCUGAUACUGUGACUUGAAGAUUCAGACUCCAAAGUAAUUAAAUCCUGAUGAGAGCAGUAAAGAGUAAACAACCAUCUCUGAACUGAGGAAGGACCUAAGGGUACAGCUGUGAUUGCAGCCCCGACUCUCUGUGAAUGGUACUCAGGACUACUGAUCAAAGGUCAUGACUUAAUAACAAUCAUAAAACUGACCUCGUGGCCCAUUGCUAGUCAGUGGUGCUAAUUCCAGUCAUUAUGCAAAUGUUCUGUUUAUAAGGUUAUAAGUUUACAAGUCACUUGAAUGAGCGACGAAACGUUUCUCCCACUGAAAACGCUCCGUCCAGAUGAACAGAAUCAGUGAUUUUGUGUUUUUCACUCAGAAAUUGCAACAUUCACAGAUGUAGAUCCUAAAUUAUUUAAACACAAGGACAUUUUUGGGACAUUUGUCUAUGAUGAGAAGUUGGUUUCUUUUUUCUUUUGAUGCUUCUUUUGUCAUUUUGUUUUGGAUCUGUUAUAAUUUAUAUACUAUAUAAUGUUAUCUUUUAUAAGAAAAGUUUCUUUUCAAGAACGUUCUCCUUCAAAUUAAUUUAUUUCACACAUUUUGUUAAGCUCUGUGAUUACAGACAUCAUAGAGCUGCGAUUAUUAAUGAAAUCCUUGCACAAUGUAUGAUAUUCAGAACUUGUACAGAUUUUAUAUAUAAAAUCAUUCGUAGAACAGUAAACAGUGGAGGGAUUCUAUGUUAUAUUUAUUUAUUUAAUUAUUAUUAUUUAAUAAUUUUAUCAGGCAACUGAGGACAUGUUUAAACUGAAUCCUACUGACUGAGAUUCUUCUAGACCACAGUGGUAUAAUUUUUUGUCAUAUCUCACAGUUUUUCCCUUUUAAAAAAAUCAUUACAUUUUUUAAAUGAUUUUGUCACAUCAUUAUUUUCUGCAUCUACUUUGGUUAGUCCUUUAAAAAAUAUAACGUUUCAGGGUCUCAGGGAAUUCCAGUGAAAAGCAUCCAAUUCCACUUGUGCAAUUUUAAUAAAUGAAACCAUUCAUUCACUUAAUAUUUGCCAUGAGUCCUACGUGAAAGUGAUACGUCAGACGAGUGUGAGAACUCAGACAUUUUAAAGAGCAAAACUCUUGGAUGCCAUCGUUCAUACUAGAAGUUCGGUGGAGACGUCACUGGAUCUACUUGAGACAGCUGCUCUGUGUGCUGGAUGUUUCACAUGAAGAGCAGAUGCUGCAACAACGCAGGUUAUAAUCCAAGAAACAUUGAUCCUCCUGGAAGUUAGAAAACUCCACCAGCUGAUGUGACUUUCCAAGGAUUUGCUUAAAGGUCUUCUCAAAAGAGGUGUUAACUUUACAUGACCAUGCCCUGAGGAAAGCAUGAAUCAAGCUGUAUGCUAUAACUGCCUGUAGUGUGCGUUUAGCCGCAGCUGUUUUUACUUGUUUCUGCUCCAAACACAAUCAUGUAGCUUUAGCAUUGCCAGCAGAUUGUUGUCAGGUUUGUUCCUGGUGGGAGCUGGUCUGCAGUGUACUGAAAAGUCAAACUACUGUUAUUUUGAUGAGCUUUUAUUUAAGUAUGGAUAAUAUAACUCCAAUUUUAAAUGUGAGCACAAAAAGAUGUUGGUGCAAGUUAUGGAGACUUUACUAGGCUGAGAAACCCAAAUAAACAUUUCAGAGAGAGCAACACCGUACAAGUGGCCAAAUCAACAAUCUGGUGCGUUAUUAAAAAGAAUGGAUGCACUGACCAGCUCGGCAACAACAAAAGGCCUGAAAGACCACAGAAGACAACUAAAGUGAAUGAUGGCAGAAUUAUUUACAUGGUUACAAGAAAUAACUUA
Oreochromis aureus is the source of this 2082-nucleotide long non-coding RNA. RefSeq lists it as uncharacterized. Lineage: Eukaryota; Metazoa; Chordata; Actinopteri; Cichliformes; Cichlidae. The record is from RefSeq and is a predicted model, not a curated record. The transcript is spliced from 5 exons.